This is an RNA transcript of Vigna angularis (adzuki bean), 2179 nucleotides long. RefSeq lists it as uncharacterized. The transcript has 6 exons. Lineage: Eukaryota; Viridiplantae; Streptophyta; Magnoliopsida; Fabales; Fabaceae. The record is from RefSeq and is a predicted model, not a curated record.
AGGUUUAUUUUCGGCGGUUCAAAAAACCUCCCCAACUUUCCGGUGGUUUCAAUGAAACCGCCUGCAAAUGUUAAAUAUAUCCCGCUCGCUGAUUUGUGCUUCCUUCAAUUAAGUUCUUCUUCAUUAUUUCACAGGCUUUUCAUGCUUCAUUUAUGUUUCUUCUUCAGUUAAGUUCUUCUUCAUUUCACAAGCUCUUCUUCCUUUCACAGGUCUUUCUUCUUCAUUUCAUUUAUGGAAAUUGAUUGGUAAUUUACCCUACGCCCUUCGUCCUUCGCCCCGUGCCUCGUCAUUGUCGCUUGAGUUUCCAGAAAUCGUUGAGUGUGGGCGUCUUCGUUCGUUGCCUGUAAGAACAAAAUCGUUGAGCAAUGCAAGGAGGGAGCGAGGAUCGGAUGUGCCGUCAGCGUUUCCAGGAACUGUAAGCCUACGUGGUGGAAGGCUCUGGCAGGCCUCACACUUCACGAUCUGAAGGAACGGGAGGAGUGCGAAGUGCGGGAUAGGGCGGAUUGUUUCGCCGUGGCUAAGGAGAAAUGUGCAGGCUUCGCCAGGGAUAAGUGUUUGGUUCCCUUUAGGGAUGCAAGGAUUUGGGUUGCGAAAGGGGUUUUGAGUUCCAAGGGUGUUGGGAAGUUGAUUGGUUGGGGAUCGGUGCCUGUGAAUGGGAGGAACAUGUGGUUGAUGAAUCAAAUGGGUCUGAUUGGUGGUGAUUUGGGAAAAAAAUGUUUCUAUCAGAGGAUUCUAUCAAGGUUCAUCCACAGAUACCAAUACGGUGAAGUUGAGAAACGAUAUAUUCAUGAUCCAUUACUUCCUUAGGCCACUAUUAUCAUGGGAGCUAGUUUUGUCUAAAAUUUUUGUCCCCCAUGGAAUGGCAUGUAGCACCUACAAACACCACUGGCUUUUCUUUGUCCUUAUGGCAAAAUGCUUAAAAUGCUUUGGAUGUUGUCGGUGUUGGAGACAUCCUCCGCCGCUACCAUCAACAGCUCCAUGGGAUUGUCACCACUUCAUUGGUUACAGGGAAACAAAUAGUAGUCAAGUCUUUCAAACCAACAGAAAACCAAGAGAGGAGUUGAGAGCCACAAGAGUCUCAACAUGGAGACGCUGUGAUGGAAGCCAUUGUCAAGGCAAGAAAUUGUUCUGUUUUGGGGAAAGGCUCCAUUUUGAAAAUGUAUUUCUUUCCUGGUCAGAGAACUUCCAGUCAUAUACAAAUUCAUGGCGCACCUCAUGUUUUCAAGGUACAUAUACCUAUGCAUGUACUAUUAAAGAAACUAACUCAUCAAAUUUGUGAUGCAAAAGGGUAAGGCUACACGUCCAGUGGUGACCUACAGGAUCAUCCGAUUGUAGGUAGAAUUAGCAUCUUUAACAUGUUUUUGAUGUGAGUUUAUUUGCGGAAAACUUGAUUUAACAAAUGACCAAUCUUGUUAUCUAAUAGUUGUUCAAGUAGAAUACAUUGUGUUACCAUUAAUUGAUACUUUACUAAUUAGUUUAUUUUUCUUCCACUCAUUUUAUGUUGUGCUUUACACUUUUCAUACACAUAAUGACCAUAUUAUAAUAAUUGUAAAUAUAUAUUUUUAUCAUAUAUUUAUAAUUACUAUUUCAUUAUAACUUAUAGUAUCAAUAUUUUUAAUUUAAAAUGUUUUUAUGGAAUUAUGACAUCAUGGUUUGUCUGUUGGAACUUCUGAUAUUAUACAAGAAAAUCACAAGUGGUCUAUGUAGGUGGCGAGAACUGGCAAAGAAUAGCAAUGGUGAAACAUCAUUAUUUGCUUAGAGUAGCUUGUUUUAUUAUUUUGGUGUUUGAAGAACUUUCAGAACUUUCUUUUCAUUAUUUUCUAAUUCUUGUUUUUCUUCUUUGUAAUUAUUGAAAGCUUUAUCUUAUGUUUUUAUCAAUGUAAUACGGUUGACUGUGAGAAUGUCAUUAUCUAUUACUUCACUUAUUCAGGUUGAUGAAUACCCUGUGUAUUGCAUGGCAACUCUAACCAUAUCUGUAUCUUUAACAGGGUCCAUUGCUUUCACAGUUUGCCACAUUUCAACCAUCACCGGUAUCCGAUCAAGCAAGCAUGUAAUGAAGAAGAAUAAAAUUAGACAUAGUUUCUUUUUUAUUAAUAUAAUGAACAUCUCAAUCAUAUUUUUAGUAUUUUAAUUUAGUAUUGAACAUCUUUCUUUUUAUUAUAUGAACAAUUAGUUGUAA